Molecule: long non-coding RNA, 142 nt
Organism: Gopherus evgoodei (Goodes thornscrub tortoise)
Lineage: Eukaryota; Metazoa; Chordata; Testudines; Testudinidae
Exons: 3
Source: RefSeq, a predicted model, not a curated record
UGUAUUUGGCAGCAGGGGGAAGGGAUAGCUCAGUGUUUUGAGCAUUGGGCUGCUAACCCCAGAGUUGUGAGCUGCUCAAUCCUUGAGCAGGCCAUUUAGGAAACUGGGCUUAAAAAAAAAGAAGUCUGGGGAUUUGCCCUGC